Molecule: long non-coding RNA, 332 nt
Organism: Gambusia affinis (western mosquitofish)
Lineage: Eukaryota; Metazoa; Chordata; Actinopteri; Cyprinodontiformes; Poeciliidae
Exons: 3
Source: RefSeq, a predicted model, not a curated record
CCAUCAUGUCCAUCCUGUCCAUGCUGUCCUCCACCUCCUGCAGUAAAAAGUCUGACAUGUCUGAAGUGUGAAGAAGGCUGGGAGCCACAUGGAGGAAACUGUUAUUAUUUUAACACCAUGAGAUCCUCCUGGACUGAGAGCCGAGAUUCCUGCAUUGAUCUGGGAUCAGACCUGGUGAAGAUCGACAGCAGAGAGGAGCAGAUGUUCCUGGAGAGCAGACUGAGAGGCUUGAUGAAGAAAGAUGAGGACAAGUUCUGGAUGGGACUGACGGACUCGGUGGAAGAAGGAAAAUGGUUCUGGGUGGACGGAUCUGCUCUGGAUGAAAGGUUUGA